GAUGAACGCUGGCGGCGUGCCUAAUACAUGCAAGUCGAGCGAACGGACGAGAAGCUUGCUUCUCUGAUGUUAGCGGCGGACGGGUGAGUAACACGUGGAUAACCUACCUAUAAGACUGGGAUAACUUCGGGAAACCGGAGCUAAUACCGGAUGAUAUUUUGAACCGCAUGGUUCAAAAGUGAAAGACGGUCUUGCUGUCACUUAUAGAUGGAUCCGCGCUGCAUUAGCUAGUUGGUAAGGUAACGGCUUACCAAGGCAACGAUGCAUAGCCGACCUGAGAGGGUGAUCGGCCACACUGGAACUGAGACACGGUCCAGACUCCUACGGGAGGCAGCAGUAGGGAAUCUUCCGCAAUGGGCGAAAGCCUAACGGAGCAACGCCGCGUGAGUGAUGAAGGUCUUCGGAUCGUAAAACUCUGUUAUUAGGGAAGAACAUAUGUGUAAGUAACUGUGCACAUCUUGACGGUACCUAAUCAGAAAGCCACGGCUAACUACGUG
This 497-nucleotide ribosomal RNA is filed under the name uncultured bacterium. RNAcentral's name for it is "partial 16S ribosomal RNA". It matches the Rfam family "Bacterial small subunit ribosomal RNA", at positions 28 to 507 of the family's 1533-position model. The record is from RNAcentral.